CUACGGGCCGCAGCAGUGAGGAAUAUUGCACAAUGGGGGGAACCCUGAUGCAGCAACGCCGCGUGGAGGAUGACGCAUUUCGGUGUGUAAACUCCUUUUAUAUGUCAAGAAAAUGACGGUAGCAUAUGAAUAAGCACCGGCUAACUCCGUGCCAGCAGCCGCGGUAAUACGGAGGGUGCAAGCGUUACUCGGAAUCGCUGGGCGUAAAGGACGCGUAGGCGGGUUGGAAAGUCAGGUGUGAAAUCCUACAGCUUAACUGUAGAACUGCACUUGAAACUUCUAAUCUAGAGUAUGGGAGGGGGAGAUGGAAUUAGUGGUGUAGGGGUAAAAUCCGUAGAUAUCACUAGGAAUACCUAAAGCGAAGGCGAUCUCCUGGAACAUUACUGACGCUAAGGCGUGAAAGCGUGGGGAGCAAACAGGAUUAGACCCCGGUAGUC
Molecule: ribosomal RNA, 437 nt
Filed under: uncultured bacterium
Lineage: Bacteria
Description: partial 16S ribosomal RNA
Rfam family: Bacterial small subunit ribosomal RNA
Source: RNAcentral